This 301-nucleotide ribosomal RNA is filed under the name uncultured bacterium. RNAcentral's name for it is "partial 16S ribosomal RNA". It matches the Rfam family "Bacterial small subunit ribosomal RNA", at positions 509 to 807 of the family's 1533-position model. The record is from RNAcentral.
CAGUAGCCACGGGAAUACGGAGGGUGCAAGCGUUAAUCGGAAUUACUGGGCGUAAAGCGUGCGUAGGCGGUUCGUUAAGUCUGUUGUGAAAGCCCCGGGCUCAACCUGGGAAUGGCAAUGGAUACUGGCGAGCUAGAGUGUGUCAGAGGAUGGUGGAAUUCCCGGUGUAGCGGUGAAAUGCGUAGAGAUCAGGAGGAACAUCAGUGGCGAAGGCGGCCAUCUGGGACAACACUGACGCUGAGGCACGAAAGCGUGGGGAGCAAACAGGAUUAGAUACCCGCGUAGUCCCUGUCUCUUAUAC